Molecule: long non-coding RNA, 647 nt
Organism: Coregonus clupeaformis (lake whitefish)
Lineage: Eukaryota; Metazoa; Chordata; Actinopteri; Salmoniformes; Salmonidae
Exons: 3
Source: RefSeq, a predicted model, not a curated record
AGCAGGAUCUGCAGACAGCACUUGGCGGAGGCAGACUUCGCGAUGAAGGGCACUUUCGAUGUGGCAACCGGGAGUUUCCGAAUGGAAAGGAGUCAUAGGCCUACCUUGAUGCCCUCUGCUGCUUGCGCCUCCAUUUGACAUUUCGAGGGUUAUGGUGUAGGGGUUACCGACCGAUCAUCAUCAACAUCAAUGACUUUGGAGUCAAGCAAAAGCGACUGAACGGAGGAGGCGACGCGAGUCAAUGUAAUGGAGCCUGGGGCUACGUACAAAACCUGGUGGAUUUGUUGUUCAGCAGCAUUGUGGGAACCCCCCUACCAUAGCAGGAGCUGUUACAGAAGGCUGAGGCAGUGGACAGACACCAGUCCCGCUUCAGAGUAAUGGAGGACACUUGUGUCAGGAGCUGGGUCAGAUAUAGGAGCUGAAGUCGGGCUCCUUCAUGACCAGUGUCUGUGAUGAGAGGUGCCUGGAGCUGAUCUAUACUGCCAUGCUCCUCAGGUUUUGGCAGAAACCUCAGAAGGGACAAAAGGAUAUUACUAAUAAGACAGUACAGCACAAGUGUUUAGUAAUAUCACCUCUUCAAUACAUAUCUGAUGUCUGAAUUGGGAGAGACCUUGCACUCAGCAUUAAAAUGAUACAAGACACAUCUA